CUAUUACCCGUGCACAGGACUGCCUAAUGUCUAUUCUGGGAAUGGUUAUUUCCCUGCUCUUGCAGACAAAUCACCUGAUUUGAACUGUGUACGAGAUAAAGUUAUGCAAGCUUCUGCGUGCUCGGAGUCCCCACUCUCAUGUUGUUGGAGCAGUGACAUACAUGUGGCGGCUAUCCUCAAUAGGGAGUAGCAAAUUGGAGGCCAAAGAAGAAAAUUUGUUCAAUUCUGAAACUAAAUUUAGUGAAGGAGGCCGAAGUUCAUUACAACGCCAAUAUGGAUCCAUCCUAUUGCGUUGGGUGAAGAUGCAAGAUUCCGGUGUUCUGAAGUCAUGGGAUGCAACGCUAUGCAAU
Long non-coding RNA from Triticum dicoccoides, 350 nucleotides. RefSeq lists it as uncharacterized. The transcript is spliced from 4 exons. Lineage: Eukaryota; Viridiplantae; Streptophyta; Magnoliopsida; Poales; Poaceae. The record is from RefSeq and is a predicted model, not a curated record.